AGAGUUUGAUCCUGGCUCAGGAUGAACGCUGGCGGCGUGCCUAACACAUGCAAGUCGAGCGUGAUUGGUGAGAGUGGAGACUUCGGUCAAAGCGAUCAUCAUGAAAGCGGCGGACGGGUGAGUAACGCGUGGGCAACCUGCCCCAUACACGAGGAUAGCCACUGGAAACGGUGAUUAAUACUCGAUAAGACCACAGCACCUCCUGGUGCAGCGGCCAAAGAUUUAUCGGUAUGGGAUGGGCCCGCGUCUGAUUAGCUAGUUGGUGAGGUAACGGCCCACCAAGGCGACGAUCAGUAACCGACCUGAGAGGGCGGACGGUCACACUGGAACUGAGACACGGUCCAGACUCCUACGGGAGGCAGCAGUGGGGAAUAUUGCACAAUGGGCGCAAGCCUGAUGCAGCAACGCCGCGUGAGUGAAGAAGGCCUUCGGGUCGUAAAGCUCUGUCCUGUGGGACGAAACAAAUGACGGUACCACAGGAGGAAGCCCCGGCUAACUACGUGCCAGCAGCCGCGGUAAUACGUAGGGGGCAAGCGUUAUCCGGAAUCACUGGGCGUAAAGGGUGCGUAGGUGGUCCAUCAAGUCAGAAGUGAAAGGCAGUGGCUUAACCACUGUAAGCUUUUGAAACUGACGGACUUGAGUGCAGGAGAGGUAAGUGGAAUUCCUAGUGUAGCGGUGAAAUGCGUAGAUAUUAGGAGGAACACCAGUGGCGAAGGCGACUUACUGGACUGUAACUGACACUGAGGCACGAAAGCGUGGGGAGCGAACAGGAUUAGAUACCCUGGUAGCCCACGCCGUAAACGAUGAAUACUAGGUGUCAGCCCGCAGGGGUUGGUGCCGCAGUUAACACAAUAAGUAUUCCGCCUGGGGAGUACGCUCGCAAGAGUGAAACUCAAAGGAAUUGA
Molecule: ribosomal RNA, 905 nt
Filed under: uncultured Bacillota bacterium
Lineage: Bacteria; Bacillati; Bacillota
Description: bacterial SSU rRNA
Rfam family: Bacterial small subunit ribosomal RNA
Source: RNAcentral